RNAcentral lists this ribosomal RNA (377 nucleotides) under uncultured bacterium. Its description in RNAcentral is "bacterial SSU rRNA". It matches the Rfam family "Bacterial small subunit ribosomal RNA", at positions 521 to 896 of the family's 1533-position model. The record is from RNAcentral.
UAAUACGUAGGGGGCAAGCGUUGUCCGGAUUUAUUGGGCGUAAAGCGCUCGCAGGUGGUCACGUGCGUCGUGCGUGAAAGACCCCGGCUCAACUGGGGGCUGUCGUGCGAUACGGCGUGACUGGAGGCCAGUAGGGGGAUGCGGAAUUCCGGGUGUAGUGGUGGAAUGCGUAGAGAUCCGGAGGAACACCAGCGGCGAAGGCGGCAUCCUGGACUGGUCCUGACACUCAGGAGCGAAAGCGUGGGGAGCGAUCCGGAUUAGAUACCCGGGUAGUCCACGCCGUAAACGAUGAGCACUAGGUGUCGGGGGUAUCGACCCCCUCGGUGCCGCAGCUAACGCGAUAAGUGCUCCGCCUGGGGACUACGGCCGCAAGGCUA